AUACAUAUUGGGGGCAGAAUUAAUAAGUAACCAAAACAUGUUUUUUUGAAAAUACGUAGUUGAUUUGGGGAUAGUAAAGCCUGAAUCUGGCUAGGUAUGCUAGGAUCACACAAACUGUGGAAUCGAAGCACACCAUAAUCAAUGGGGAUAGUAAAGCCUGAAUCUGGCUAGGUAUGCUAGGAUCACACAAACUGUGGAAUCGAAGCACACUAUAAUCAACAUUUUGU
RNAcentral lists this long non-coding RNA (227 nucleotides) under Nicotiana benthamiana. Its description in RNAcentral is "long non-coding RNA (NBEN_LNC030650)". The record is from RNAcentral. Lineage: Eukaryota; Viridiplantae; Streptophyta; Magnoliopsida; Solanales; Solanaceae.